CGACCACCUCACGUUGAAACAUCGGUUCCCCUAUGAUAAGCGAAGUUAAGCAACGUCGAGCCUUGUUAGUACCAAGAUGGGCGACCGCUUCUGAAUAUCACGUGCUGUAAG
Molecule: non-coding RNA, 111 nt
Organism: Acanthosepion pharaonis
Lineage: Eukaryota; Metazoa; Mollusca; Cephalopoda; Sepiida; Sepiidae
Source: the annotation of a GenBank genome assembly